GUGAGGAAUAUUGGUCAAUGGGCGAGAGCCUGAACCAGCCAAGUCGCGUGAAGGAUGAAGGUUUUAUGAAUUGUAAACUUCUUUUGCAGGGGAAUAAAGUACGGUACGUGUACCGUUUUGUAUGUACUCUGCGAAUAAGGAUCGGCUAACUCCGUGCCAGCAGCCGCGGUAAUACGGAGGAUCCAAGCGUUAUCCGGAUUUAUUGGGUUUAAAGGGUGCGCAGGCGGGUUGAUAAGUCAGCGGUGAAAGUUUGCAGCUUAACUGUAAAAUUGCCGUUGAAACUGUCGGACUUGAGUGUAAAUGAGGUAGGCGGAAUGCGUGGUGUAGCGGUGAAAUGCAUAGAUAUCACGCAGAACUCCGAUUGCGAAGGCAGCUUACUAAGCUACAACUGACACUGAAGCACGAAAGCGUGGGGAUCAAACAGGAUUAGAUACCCGUGUAGUCC
Molecule: ribosomal RNA, 445 nt
Filed under: uncultured bacterium
Lineage: Bacteria
Description: partial 16S ribosomal RNA
Rfam family: Bacterial small subunit ribosomal RNA
Source: RNAcentral